This 446-nucleotide ribosomal RNA is filed under the name uncultured bacterium. Its description in RNAcentral is "bacterial SSU rRNA". It matches the Rfam family "Bacterial small subunit ribosomal RNA", at positions 355 to 825 of the family's 1533-position model. The record is from RNAcentral.
UCGGGAAUUUUGGGCAAUGGGCGAAAGCCUGACCCAGCAACGCCGCGUGAAGGAUGAAGUAUUUCGGUAUGUAAACUUCGUAAGAAUAGGAAGAAUAAAUGACGGUACUAUUUGUAAGGUCCGGCUAACUACGUGCCAGCAGCCGCGGUAAUACGUAGGGACCAAGCGUUGUUCGGAUUUACUGGGCGUAAAGGGCGCGUAGGCGGCGUGGUAAGUCAUCUGUGAAAUCUCCGAGCUUAACUCGGAACGGUCAGAUGAUACUGCUGUGCUAGAGUACAGAAAGGGCAAUCGGAAUUCUUGGUGUAGCGGUGAAAUGCGUAGAUAUCAAGAGGAACACCUGAGGCGAAGGCGGGUUGCUAGGCUGAUACUGACGCUGAGGCGCGAAAGCCAGGGGAGCAAACGGGAUUAGAUACCCAGUAGUCCCUGAGCGGGCUGGCAAGGCGCAU